AGAGUUUGAUCAUGGCUCAGAACGAACGCUGGCGGCAUGCCUAACACAUGCAAGUCGAACGCUUGGUCCCGGUUCGCCGGGGCCGAGAGUGGCGCACGGGUGAGUAGCGCGUGGGAACCUGCCCUGUUGUGGGGGAUAACCGAGGGAAACUUCGGCUAAUACCGCAUGCGCCCCGGCGAAAGCCGGGGGAAAGAUUUAUCGCAGCAGGAGGGGCCCGCGUCGGAUUAGCUAGUUGGUGGGGUAACGGCCCACCAAGGCAGUGGUCCGUAGCUGGUCUGAGAGGAUGAUCAGCCACACUGGGACUGAGACACGGCCCAGACUCCUACGGGAGGCAGCAGUGGGGAAUAUUGGACAAUGGGCGCAAGCCUGAUCCAGCAAUGCCGCGUGAGUGAUGAAGGCCUUAGGGUUGUAAAGCUCUUUCGCCCGCGACGAUGAUGACGGUAGCGGGAGAAGAAGCCCCGGCUAACUUCGUGCCAGCAGCCGCGGUAAUACGAAGGGGGCGAGCGUUGUUCGGAUUUACUGGGCGUAAAGGGCGCGUAGGCGGCGGGUCAAGUCGAGUGUGAAAGCCCCGGGCUCAACCUGGGAAUUGCGCUCGAGACUGGACUGCUUGAGUUCGGGAGAGGAGCGUGGAAUUCCCAGUGUAGAGGUGAAAUUCGUAGAUAUUGGGAAGAACACCGGUGGCGAAGGCGGCGCUCUGGACCGAGACCGACGCUGAGGCGCGAAAGCGUGGGGAGCAAACAGGAUUAGAUACCCUAGUAGUCC
RNAcentral lists this ribosomal RNA (762 nucleotides) under uncultured bacterium. RNAcentral describes it as "bacterial SSU rRNA". It matches the Rfam family "Bacterial small subunit ribosomal RNA", at positions 8 to 796 of the family's 1533-position model. The record is from RNAcentral.